AGUCAUAUGCUUGUCUCAAAGAUUAAGCCAUGCAUGUCUAAGUAUAAGCAAUUAUACAGCGAAACUGCGAAUGGCUCAUUAUAUAAGUUAUCGUUUAUUUGAUAGUACCUUACUACUUGGAUAACCGUGGUAAUUCUAGAGCUAAUACAUGCUAAAAAUCCCGACUUCGGAAGGGAUGUAUUUAUUAGAUUAAAAACCAAUGCCCUCUGGGCUCUUUGGUGAUUCAUGAUAACUUCUCGAAUCGCACGGCCUUGCGCCGGCGAUGGUUCAUUCAAAUUUCUUCCCUAUCAACUUUCGAUGUUUGGGUAUUGGCCAAACAUGGUUGCAACGGGUAACGGAG
Molecule: ribosomal RNA, 340 nt
Filed under: uncultured eukaryote
Lineage: Eukaryota
Description: SSU rRNA
Rfam family: Eukaryotic small subunit ribosomal RNA
Source: RNAcentral